GAUGAACGCUGGCGGCGUGCCUAAUAAAUGCCAGUCGAGCGAACGGACGAGAAGCUUGCUUUUCUGAUUUUAGCGGCGGACGGGUGAGUAACACGUGGAUAACCUACCUAUAAGACUGGGAUAACUUCGGGAAAACGGAGCGAAUACCGGGUAAUAUUUUGAACCGCAUGGUUCAAAAGUGAAAGACGGUCUUGCUGUCACUUAUAGAUGGAUCCGCGCUGCAUUAGCUAGUUGGUAAGGUAACGGCUUACCAAGGCAACGAUGCAUAGCCGACCUGAGAGGGUGAUCGGCCACACUGGAACUGAGACACGGUCCAGACUCCUACGGGAGGCAGCAGUAGGGAAUCUUCCGCAAUGGGCGAAAGCCUGACGGAGCAACGCCGCGUGAGUGAUGAAGGUCUUCGGAUCGUAAAACUCUGUUAUUAGGGAAGAACAUAUGUGUAAGUAACUGUGCACAUCUUGACGGUACCUAAUCAGAAAGCCACGGCUAACUACGUG
This 497-nucleotide ribosomal RNA is filed under the name uncultured bacterium. RNAcentral's name for it is "partial 16S ribosomal RNA". It matches the Rfam family "Bacterial small subunit ribosomal RNA", at positions 28 to 507 of the family's 1533-position model. The record is from RNAcentral.